This 506-nucleotide ribosomal RNA is filed under the name uncultured bacterium. RNAcentral describes it as "partial 16S ribosomal RNA". It matches the Rfam family "Bacterial small subunit ribosomal RNA", at positions 29 to 523 of the family's 1533-position model. The record is from RNAcentral.
AGUGAACGCUGGCGGUAGGCCUAACACAUGCAAGUCGAACGGCAGCACAGGAGAGCUUGCUCUCUGGGUGGCGAGUGGCGGACGGGUGAGGAAUACAUCGGAAUCUACUCUGUCGCGGGGGAUAACGCAGGGAAACUUACGCUAAUACCGCAUACGACCUACGGGUGAAAGCAGGGGACCUUCGGGCCUUGCGCGAUUGAAUGAGCCGAUGUCGGAUUAGGUAGUUGGCGGGGUAAAGGCCCACCAAGGCGACGAUCCGUAGCUGGUCUGAGAGGAUGAUCAGCCACACUGGAACUGAGACACGGUCCAGACUCCUACGGGAGGCAGCAGUGGGGAAUAUUGGACAAUGGGCGCAAGCCUGAUCCAGCCAUACCGCGUGGGUGAAGAAGGCCUUCGGGUUGUAAAGCCCUUUUGUUGGGAAAGAAAUCCAGCUGGCUAAUACCCGGUUGGGAUGACGGUACCCAAAGAAUAAGCACCGGCUAACUUCGUGCCAGCCGCCGCCGUAA